GGGUGCCCUGUGCACCACAUUAAAAUAUCAUAAUGUAUGGAUCUAAGGCACAUACUUUAGCCCCAAAUGAAUUAAUAAUUAUAUAUAAAAUAUUUAAGUGAUAAUAAUCUUGCUUAUCUUCUUAUAAUUGAGAGCUAUUUGGGGGGUGAUUUGAAUAAAUCAAGUCAUUUAAAAAAGCCACUCUAAGAAAUUUGAAUAAAUGCCUUCUUUGCCUUUGAAAACAUUUUCUUUAAUACAUACAAGAAUUCAAAAGCAUUCCAUGGAACCAAGAGCUGUCUCAGGGCUCAGAGAGGGGGCAGUCAAUACCCACUUGUUGCUGUAGAGAUGGUAGUAUGUGCAUGUGUUUCUAACCCUCUGAAAGGUGUACUUUAAGGAAACUCUACGCCCAACAUGGUGCUCAAACUCAUGACCCCAAGAUUGAGAGCUGCAUAUUCUACUGACUGAGCCAGCCAGGUGCUCCUGAAAGGCAUAGUUUUAAACUGAGGGCUAUUGCACUUCAGGGCCUCAGGGUUGUGAGUUUGAGCCCCAUGCUGGGGGUAGAGAUUCCUUAAAAAUAAAAUUUUAAAAAAGCCCAAAAAACUAAGUGCCUACCUACUAGAGGUUCCUGAAUGUUCUCUGUUCACAGCACACUUGGGGUCUCGGUAAUUUUUUCACAGUGCAACUAAACCAAAAUAAAAACCAAUUAAAAAAUUAUGUAGUUAGGUCCAAACAAAUCGUUAAGUAUUUAUAUCCUUACCUAGUGGCUGUCUUAUUUUUGAAAAAGAAAAGCCACAUAAAUUGAGAGGAAAAAUAGUUUCAUUUUAUUUAUAAUCACAAUGACUUUCUGUCAUUGUGUGCCUGCUGAGCACUGCACAGCUUCUCAAACCUUAGAAUCAGGUUGGACACAACCACCCUCAUUUCUUGUUCACAAUGACUUUUUUUUUUUUUAAGAUUUAUUUACUUAUUUUAGAGAGAGUGUGAGCGAGCAAGUACAGCUGGGAGAGGCAGAGGGAGAGGGAGAGAAUCCCAAGCAGACUCCAUGCUCAGUUGGAACCAGAUGCGGAACUUGAUCCCAUGACUGAGAUCACGACCUGAGCUGAAAACAAGCAUCGUAUGGUUAACCGACUGCAUCAUCUGGGCACCCCCGUUCACGUUAAUUUUUCAGGGGUACUUAUCACCGAAACAUCCAAGAAUUCAGUUUCUCAUAGAUAUCUCAUAAAAAAGAAUGUAGUGCAGUACAAUGUAAUGUUGAAACUGAACUUUCUUGGCUAAUAGUGAGCAGUGUACAAAAGACUUCCUGAAUUGCUGCAUUUCCCCUGAAAAUUAAAAUAUCCUUUGUCACCCUUGUGGAUUUGCUGCAGUGCCUGGGGGUGCCUCGGUGCACAGUUUGGGAACCAAAUGUCUUCAUCAAAUCUCUGUUUCUCACCUCAUUCCACUUCACCCCUCGGUUUAUUCAAAACUAUGGUCAAAGCUGCUAGUUUCAAAGCAAGUAAAAGCACCAAAAAAACUUGUUAAGCCAGGUUAGGUCUUCACUUUGAGGACUAUUUUAACAGUGUAUUUUGAGAGCUGCAAAACAAUGACCAAAUCACUAGCAAGUUCUAAAAGUGAACUGUUUGAUACAGAGGGAUUGGCGACCAGAUGUACAUUUUGCAUUUCCGAGCUCUUUUUGGCCCAGAUGCGAAGGAUACAUCGGAAGGGAAGGCAAUGCUGUUGGUCAAACAGGCCCCAGGUGGUUAUAGGAACUGCAGCAUGAGUUCCUAUAAAGCUCGUCACUGGGCCAUGGUCUGGAUUGCAGGGCAGCCCACUCUCCCCGCUAACCUCCAGGAAGUGGUUGUCAGCCUUGACAUUCUCUUCCUGCCCCUGAACCUGGUGUCUGUACCUGCCCGUCUCACCCUGGCCCAGGAGGAAGUGUGGUGAAGGCAAGUGGGGACGUCUGCAUCUGACCUCUGUGGUCUACUUCCUUCUUAUUUCUUCUCUUCCAUCCUACGCCAGGCUGAAAAGGCAGGUUGACUGCUGGCACAAGGAGUUCUUUGUUGUGAGUAGACCAUCGUGUGUGCCACACCUGGUUCUUGGUUUGUUGAUAGGUCAGAGGACUUUUUUCAAGCCUGGCUUUCCAUGGGUGUUGGCUUGCUGGGGGCUCGUCCAUCCUGUUUUGGUGGUCAAAAGCUGGAUGCUGACUUCCUUCCAUUCCUUCUCGCACUGGGCGGAUGCUGCCAUUGCACAAUCCUGUUUCUUCAGAGCAUUGAUUGCCAUCUGAAAUUAUUUGCUUCCUGUCUCUUCUCAUUAGAAUAUAACGAUAGGGACUUCCUUGGUCUUGUCCAGCAAGUAAUGCAUUUAAAACAGUGUCUGGUACAUAAAAACUGCUCAAUAAAUAUGCGUGGAGUGAAUGCAUGAUGUGCAUAAAGCUUAAAGAAUUUGCACAUAGGGACAAGUUACCCAAGAAAUAAAUUUUUAAAUAUAAGGUUUGUGGGGCACUGGGGUGGCUCAGUGGUUGGGAGUUUGCCUUCUGCUCAGGGCAUGAUCCCGGAGUCCUGGGAUUGAGUCCUGCAUCGGGCUCCCUGGGAGGAGCCUGCUUUCCUCUCUGCCUGUGUCUCUGCCUCUCUGUGUGUGUCUCUCAUGAAUAAAGAAAUAAAAGGGAUCCCUGGGUGGCGCAGAGGUUUAGCGCCUGCCUUUGGCCCGGGGCACGAUCCUGGAGACCCGGGAUCGAGUCCCACGUCGGGCUCCCGGUGCAUGGAGCCUGCUUCUCCCUCUGCCUCUCUCUCUCUAUGUGACUAUCAUAAAUAAAUAAAAAUUAAAAAAAAAUAAAGAAAUAAAAUCUUAAAAAAAUUUUGCACAUAGAAUGUUCUCAAUAUACAAUAGCUAAAAAAAAAAAAAAAAAAAAAAAAAAAAGAAAAAAAG
This 2877-nucleotide long non-coding RNA is filed under the name Canis lupus familiaris (dog). Its description in RNAcentral is "lncRNA (ENSCAFG00845024217.1)". Lineage: Eukaryota; Metazoa; Chordata; Mammalia; Carnivora; Canidae. The record is from RNAcentral.